Molecule: ribosomal RNA, 101 nt
Filed under: Anaerotignum lactatifermentans
Lineage: Bacteria; Bacillati; Bacillota; Clostridia; Lachnospirales; Anaerotignaceae
Description: partial 23S ribosomal RNA
Rfam family: Bacterial large subunit ribosomal RNA
Source: RNAcentral
GUAAGGUCCCUUAAAGAUAAUGAGGUAGAUAGGUUGGAGGUGUAAGCACAGUAAUGUGUUCAGCUGACCAAUACUAAUAGACCGAGGGCUUGACCUAAUAA